Molecule: ribosomal RNA, 335 nt
Filed under: uncultured bacterium
Lineage: Bacteria
Description: bacterial SSU rRNA
Rfam family: Bacterial small subunit ribosomal RNA
Source: RNAcentral
GAUGAACGCUAGCGGCAGGCCUAACACAUGCAAGUCGAGGGGCAGCACGUCUUCGGAUGGUGGCGACCGGCGCACGGGUGCGUAACGCGUAUGCAACCUACCUCUUACAGUGGGAUAGCCCAGAGAAAUUUGGAUUAAUACCGCAUAGUAUACAGAUUCAGCAUUGGGACUGUAUUAAACAUUUAUGGGUAAGAGAUGGGCAUGCGUUCUAUUAGUUAGUUGGAGUGGUAACGGCACCCCAAGACAGCGAUAGAUAGGGGCCCUGAGAGGGGGAUCCCCCGANACUGGUACUGAGACACGGACCAGACUCCUACGGGAGGCAGCAGUGAGGAAUA